AUGGAUGCGGUGGUUGCUCUAUCACAGAGCAAAGCUACCAAGCAGGACACCAAAGCUGGACCUGUGGCAGAGAAAUACCGCAGGCACAUCCCAGUGGACAAAGUGGUGGAGAUGGUCCAAACUGACCAGGCAGAGGAAGAGGAGCUUCUUGGUACAGUUCCUUCACACUUUAUAUACUGUAUACAAUGACUGUGAUAUGGUUGUCCUAACUAAAUUGAAUGCACUGACUAUUUAGUCGCUCUAGAUAAGUGUCUGCUUAAUGACAACAUGUCAUUUAAAAACAAAUGUAGAUAGGUUGUGACAGUCACUUGGGCAUUUACAUUUUCUCUGUAAUACAUCUCCCAUAAAUGUAACAUAAAUGUAAUGACUGUAAACACACCGUUUAUUUCCCUUUACCCUCAUUCUAUCUAACAGACAGCAGCAUUGUCCCUGACUCCCAGCCUACCAUGAAAACAGAGAGUACUAUGUAAGUACAUGGUCUCUGUCAUUCAAAUUACAAUUGAUUUAAAAUCUGAUUUUGAAUCAGACAUGUUUACUCAUAGAGGAGCUUUGAGACCGUGUGUGCGUGCGUGCAUCUCUGUGUGUGUUCGAACAGAUUCUCCCACUGGAGGAAAGUGUCUGUAUCUGAGAUGCUGCUGCCGGUACAGAGAGGCUUCCAGAAGGCACUGCCCAAACCAGAACUUGAGAACGUAGAGCAACAGGAGCGUCCGUCAUCGGCCCAGAGAGGUUCUGGGUCGGUCCCUGGGUCAGCAGUCAGCCACAAGCAGCUCCACGCCCAGCUCACCCAGCGCCUGGAGGAGGUCCUCCGCAAGAGGGACCGGGGUACUGGGCCCGAGGAGCGAGCUGGAGUCCAGAUCAGAGUGCCUGAGGAGCGAGGUAGGCCACAGGACCGAGGGUCCCGAGAGCGAGCUGGAGCCCAGGGAGGAAGCGGGCCUGAGGAGCAAAGUGGAGCCCAGGGAGGACGAGGGCCUGAGGAGCAAGAUGGAGCCCAGGGAGGAAGAGGGCCUGAGGAGCGAGGUGAGCCCACUGGGAGAGGUGCCAAAGUGUCACGGCAGGAUGCAGGAAGGCCUGGUCAGACCAAGGGGAAACCUAAGAGCCAGAAGUCUCAGGAAACUGAAGCCACCCCAGGGAAAGCCCCUGUCAAACCCACCCCAGCUAAAGAUAUACAGGAGAGGGCAACACCUAACUCCAAGGUUAAGGCCACUGGGUCAAACUCCAGUAAAGACAAGGUGAGGAUAUAG
This 1241-nucleotide long non-coding RNA is filed under the name Oncorhynchus mykiss (rainbow trout). RNAcentral describes it as "lncRNA (ENSOMYG00000003915.2)". The record is from RNAcentral. Lineage: Eukaryota; Metazoa; Chordata; Actinopteri; Salmoniformes; Salmonidae.